Molecule: ribosomal RNA, 801 nt
Filed under: Kineococcus radiotolerans
Lineage: Bacteria; Bacillati; Actinomycetota; Actinomycetes; Kineosporiales; Kineosporiaceae
Description: bacterial SSU rRNA
Rfam family: Bacterial small subunit ribosomal RNA
Source: RNAcentral
GUCGACGGUGAUCCACCUUCGGGUGGUGAUCAGUGGCGAACGGGUGAGUAACACGUGAGCAACCUGCCCCUGGCUCUGGGACAACCACUGGAAACGGUGGCUAAUACCGGAUACGACCCGCCAUCGCAUGGUGUGUGGGUGGAAAGUUUUUCGGCUGGGGAUGGGCUCGCGGCCUAUCAGCUUGUUGGUGGGGUGAUGGCCUACCAAGGCGACGACGGGUAGCCGGCCUGAGAGGGCGACCGGCCACACUGGGACUGAGACACGGCCCAGACUCCUACGGGAGGCAGCAGUGGGGAAUAUUGCACAAUGGGCGAAAGCCUGAUGCAGCGACGCCGCGUGAGGGAUGACGGCCUUCGGGUUGUAAACCUCUUUCAGCUCCGAAGAAGCGAAAGUGACGGUAGGAGCAGAAGAAGCACCGGCUAACUACGUGCCAGCAGCCGCGGUAAUACGUAGGGUGCAAGCGUUGUCCGGAAUUAUUGGGCGUAAAGAGCUCGUAGGCGGUGUGUCGCGUCUGCUGUGAAAACUCAGGGCUCAACUCUGAGCUUGCAGUGGGUACGGGCACACUAGAGUGCUGUAGGGGAGACUGGAAUUCCUGGUGUAGCGGUGAAAUGCGCAGAUAUCAGGAGGAACACCGGUGGCGAAGGCGGGUCUCUGGGCAGUUACUGACGCUGAGGAGCGAAAGCAUGGGGAGCGAACAGGAUUAGAUACCCUGGUAGUCCAUGCCGUAAACGUUGGGCGCUAGGUGUGGGGUCCAUUCCACGGAUUCCGUGCCGCAGCUAACGCAUUAAGCGCCCCGCCUGG